RNAcentral lists this ribosomal RNA (1186 nucleotides) under Salmonella enterica. RNAcentral describes it as "partial 23S ribosomal RNA". It matches the Rfam family "Bacterial large subunit ribosomal RNA", at positions 1171 to 2340 of the family's 2925-position model. Lineage: Bacteria; Pseudomonadati; Pseudomonadota; Gammaproteobacteria; Enterobacterales; Enterobacteriaceae. The record is from RNAcentral.
UGUAACGGGGCUAAACCAUGCACCGAAGCUGCGGCAGCGACACUGUGUGUUGUUGGGUAGGGGAGCGUUCUGUAAGCCUGUGAAGGUGUGUCGUGAGGCAUGCUGGAGGUAUCAGAAGUGCGAAUGCUGACAUAAGUAACGAUAAAGCGGGUGAAAAGCCCGCUCGCCGGAAGACCAAGGGUUCCUGUCCAACGUUAAUCGGGGCAGGGUGAGUCGACCCCUAAGGCGAGGCCGAAAGGCGUAGUCGAUGGGAAACGGGUUAAUAUUCCCGUACUUGGUGUUACUGCGAAGGGGGGACGGAGAAGGCUAUGUUGGCCGGGCGACGGUUGUCCCGGUUUAAGCGUGUAGGUGUGUGUUCCAGGUAAAUCCGGUUCACUUUAACACUGAGGCGUGACGACGAGGCACUACGGUGCUGAAGCAACAAAUGCCCUGCUUCCAGGAAAAGCCUCUAAGCAUCAGGUAACAUCAAAUCGUACCCCAAACCGACACAGGUGGUCAGGUAGAGAAUACCAAGGCGCUUGAGAGAACUCGGGUGAAGGAACUAGGCAAAAUGGUGCCGUAACUUCGGGAGAAGGCACGCUGACACGUAGGUGAAGUGAUUUACUCAUGGAGCUGAAGUCAGUCGAAGAUACCAGCUGGCUGCAACUGUUUAUUAAAAACACAGCACUGUGCAAACACGAAAGUGGACGUAUACGGUGUGACGCCUGCCCGGUGCCGGAAGGUUAAUUGAUGGGGUCAGCGCAAGCGAAGCUCCUGAUCGAAGCCCCGGUAAACGGCGGCCGUAACUAUAACGGUCCUAAGGUAGCGAAAUUCCUUGUCGGGUAAGUUCCGACCUGCACGAAUGGCGUAAUGAUGGCCAGGCUGUCUCCACCCGAGACUCAGUGAAAUUGAACUCGCUGUGAAGAUGCAGUGUACCCGCGGCAAGACGGAAAGACCCCGUGAACCUUUACUAUAGCUUGACACUGAACAUUGAGCCUUGAUGUGUAGGAUAGGUGGGAGGCUUUGAAGUGUGGACGCCAGUCUGCAUGGAGCCGACCUUGAAAUACCACCCUUUAAUGUUUGAUGUUCUAACGUGGACCCGUUACCCGGGUUGCGGACAGUGUCUGGUGGGUAGUUUGACUGGGGCGGUCUCCUCCUAAAGAGUAACGGAGGAGCACGAAGGUUGGCUAAUCCUGGUCGGACAUCA